ACACUGUACAAUGGAUUUCUCGGCUCCCACAUCGAUGAAGAACGC
This 45-nucleotide ribosomal RNA is filed under the name Chamaedoris peniculum. RNAcentral's name for it is "5.8S ribosomal RNA". The record is from RNAcentral. Lineage: Eukaryota; Viridiplantae; Chlorophyta; Ulvophyceae; Cladophorales; Boodleaceae.